Beta vulgaris subsp. vulgaris (sugar beet) is the source of this 465-nucleotide long non-coding RNA. RefSeq lists it as uncharacterized. Lineage: Eukaryota; Viridiplantae; Streptophyta; Magnoliopsida; Caryophyllales; Amaranthaceae. The transcript has 3 exons. The record is from RefSeq and is a predicted model, not a curated record.
UUCAUUGUUUCUCCUAACUUUAAGUAUUUGGAGUUUAGGUACUUGGCAGAGGAGAUUGAGGAGCAUGGAGAUAAUAAUAUUGGUUUCAUGUGUCCAAUUAUGAUUUCAACGACCAUGAUACACAAUCAACGAGAUGUCGUGAUUAACUACAUCGCAAGUUCAAUGAAAGCGAAUCGACAUAUGUGUUACAUCCUAUAUCCGUAUAUUCAUAAUGUGCUCAAUAAUCGGGAGGAGAUGAACACGGUUAUUUUCGUGAUGAGAUAAAUGCUUCAAAUCAUCCGCUUCCACUAUGAUUCAAAUAAUUUGUAUGAGGCUUUUCCACCAAGUCUUGAUCCAUACUCCAUAACUGAGAUCAACGACCACAAAGUACUUUAUGCGCAAUACUUUAUACGAGUCAUCGAAGAGGCAGCAACGAACGAGUAAGUGUAUCUAUUUACAGUGAUCAACAAAGCAACCAGUAGAGGG